RNAcentral lists this ribosomal RNA (396 nucleotides) under uncultured bacterium. Its description in RNAcentral is "partial 16S ribosomal RNA". It matches the Rfam family "Bacterial small subunit ribosomal RNA", at positions 523 to 918 of the family's 1533-position model. The record is from RNAcentral.
AUACGUAGGGGGCGAGCGUUGUCCGGAAUGAUUGGGCGUAAAGGGCGCGUAGGCGGCGCGGUAAGUCCGGAGUGAAAGUCCUGCUUUCAAGGUGGGAAUUGCUUUGGAUACUGCCGCGCUUGAGUGCAGGAGAGGUUAUCGGAAUUCCCGGUGUAGCGGUGAAAUGCGUAGAGAUCGGGAGGAACACCAGUGGCGAAGGCGGGUAACUGGACUGAAACUGACGCUGAGGCGCGAAAGUGUGGGGAGCAAACAGGAUUAGAUACCCUGUUAGUCCACGCCGUAAACGAUGAAUACUAGGUGUCAGGGUGCAAAGCAUCGUGGUGCCGAAGCGAACGCAUUAAGUAUUCCACCUGGGGAGUACGUCCGCAAGAAUGAAACUCAAAGGAAUUGACGGGG